This is a long non-coding RNA of Humulus lupulus (European hop), 964 nucleotides long. RefSeq lists it as uncharacterized. The record is from RefSeq and is a predicted model, not a curated record. The transcript has 3 exons. Lineage: Eukaryota; Viridiplantae; Streptophyta; Magnoliopsida; Rosales; Cannabaceae.
CCAAGCUGCUAAGAUUAUUCUAGAGUGAAACACUAGUGUUUUUGGGUUAAAACUUUCAAAUCUAAAGCUUUUAUAAACACUUGGGAAGUCAUUUUUGUGUGAUAUUGGUGUUUGAUGUAUAGAUCGAGGUUCUAAGCUAUCCAAGGUGUUCAAUUCCUUUGAAACAUAAAGUUUUUGGAGUUCACAAUCCUGCUCUUGUCUCCAAUAUUCCUGUUUUUGGUAAGGAAAAUUAGAUAGUUUAGUAUUAUGACUUAGUUUAUGUAGUUUAUGAUAUAGUUUAUGUUUGUAUGACCUAACAACAUUUCAGGUACAAUAAAGGGGGUAAGUGUGUCUGGACCUAAGGUGUCCAAUGAUGUAUGACAGACUAUGUCUGGUAGGUUCGGUUACCAAAACUUUAUGACGGACCUAAGUGAUGUCCGGUGUAUGACGGACUUUUGUCCGUGGCUUGCCACCCUUGUAUAAACACUUAUCUUUUUAUUAUAUCUGACUUGUUAUUAUGACCUAUAAUUAUGAUUAUGAUUUAUGACCUAUGACCUAUAGUUAUGAAUAUGACUUGUGACAUAUGAUUUAUGAUCUAUGACUUAUGGUUUAUGAUUUAUGGCUUAGAUUAUGAUUUAGAAUUAUGACUUAAGUUAUGAUAUAACUUAGAGUUUUGUGUUUGUACGGCUCUUGUGAAUUUAUGUUAUGUUUGAUUAUAUGAUUAUAUGACUAACUCUUGUUUGUACUUUCCUUACUGGGCUUAGAAGCUCACUCCUUAUGAUGUUGUUGUGCAGAAAAUUAAGGAUAGAAAGGUCGGUGGAAGAUCAAGCGGGCCAAUUUAUUUAUUUUUAUUAAAGAAAUGUUAUUUUAAAGUUUUAUUUAAAUGUUGCUCAUUUUUAUGUUAAAGACAAUUAUUUUUAAAACCAUGGAUCCCUGUAUGUAAUUAUUUUCAAGUUUUUUAUUAAAUAAAAGAGUAAUAUUUACG